This 857-nucleotide ribosomal RNA is filed under the name Purpureocillium lilacinum. Its description in RNAcentral is "partial large subunit ribosomal RNA". It matches the Rfam family "Eukaryotic large subunit ribosomal RNA", at positions 69 to 957 of the family's 3401-position model. Lineage: Eukaryota; Fungi; Ascomycota; Sordariomycetes; Hypocreales; Ophiocordycipitaceae. The record is from RNAcentral.
CAGGGAUUGCCCCAGUAACGGCGAGUGAAGCGGCAACAGCUCAAAUUUGAAAUCUGGCCCCCAGGGCCCGAGUUGUAAUUUGCAGAGGAUGCUUUUGGCGCGGUGCCUUCCGAGUUCCCUGGAACGGGACGCCAUAGAGGGUGAGAGCCCCGUCUGGUCGGACGCCUAGCCUGUGUAAAGCUCCUUCGACGAGUCGAGUAGUUUGGGAAUGCUGCUCUAAAUGGGAGGUAUAUGUCUUCUAAAGCUAAAUACCGGCCAGAGACCGAUAGCGCACAAGUAGAGUGAUCGAAAGAUGAAAAGCACUUUGAAAAGAGGGUUAAAUAGUACGUGAAAUUGUUGAAAGGGAAGCGCUUGUGACCAGACUUGGGCCCGGUGGAUCAUCCAGCGUUCUCGCUGGUGCACUCCGCCGGGUUCAGGCCAGCAUCAGUUCGCCGCGGGGGAAAAAGGCUUCGGGAACGUGGCUCCUACGGGAGUGUUAUAGCCCGUUGCAUAAUACCCUGGGGCGGACUGAGGUUCGCGCUCCGCAAGGAUGCUGGCGUAAUGGUCAUCAGCGACCCGUCUUGAAACACGGACCAAGGAGUCGUCUUCGUAUGCGAGUGUUCGGGUGUAAAACCCCUACGCGUAAUGAAAGUGAACGCAGGUGAGAGCUUCGGCGCAUCAUCGACCGAUCCUGAUGUUCUCGGAUGGAUUUGAGUAAGAGCAUACGGGGCCGGACCCGAAAGAAGGUGAACUAUGCCUGUAUAGGGUGAAGCCAGAGGAAACUCUGGUGGAGGCUCGCAGCGGUUCUGACGUGCAAAUCGAUCGUCAAAUAUGGGCAUGGGGGCGAAAGACUAAUCGAACCUUCUAGUAGCUGGUUU